AGCUUGGCAAGUGUCCUCAUCAUCGGUACUGCUGACUCUGUCCUCCUGAAGAAUAUCUUGCAGGUGAAGAAAUUCGGCAGCGCUCAGUGGCUCAUCUGCCUGAUCGUCGGUGUCAUCAUCCAGAGCAGAGGACGGCCCAGGCUGGAAUCCCAGAACUUUGAAAAGCCAGUUUUCUUCAUCCUCGAAUUCUGGCAAGUCCAUUGCACUGCAUUCUGCUUCAGAGGUCUUGGGGCUUUGCUUUUCAGACAUAGCUCCGGGAUUCGGCUUCUCUGUAGUAUCCUAAAUGCCCAUCUUCCAUGGAGGUCUUAGAAAACAUUGACCUCUACAUUUUCCUUCAGCUAGGGUAA
This 347-nucleotide small RNA is filed under the name Mus musculus (house mouse). RNAcentral describes it as "testes specific x-linked transcript d". The record is from RNAcentral. Lineage: Eukaryota; Metazoa; Chordata; Mammalia; Rodentia; Muridae.